ACUCCUACGGGAGGCAGCAGUGGGGAAUAUUGCACAAUGGGGGAAACCCUGAUGCAGCCAUGCCGCGUGAGCGAUGAAGGCCUUAGGGUUGUAAAGCUCUUUCAGCGGGGAAGAUAAUGACGUUACCUACAGAAGAAGCACCGGCUAACUCCGUGCCAGCAGCCGCGGUAAUACGGAGGGUGCGAGCGUUAAUCGGAAUUACUGGGCGUAAAGCGCAUGCAGGCGGCCUGUUAAGUCAGAUGUGAAAGCCCGGGGCUUAACCUCGGAAUUGCAUUUGAAACUGGCAGGCUAGAGUCUUGUAGAGGGGGGUAGAAUUUCAGGUGUAGCGGUGAAAUGCGUAGAGAUCUGAAGGAAUACCAGUGGCGAAGGCGGCCCCCUGGACAAAGACUGACGCUCAGAUGCGAAAGCGUGGGGAGCAAACAGGAUUAGAUACCCUGGUAGCGACUG
RNAcentral lists this ribosomal RNA (447 nucleotides) under uncultured bacterium. RNAcentral's name for it is "bacterial SSU rRNA". It matches the Rfam family "Bacterial small subunit ribosomal RNA", at positions 335 to 797 of the family's 1533-position model. The record is from RNAcentral.